AGAGGUCGCGGCCCCCGCCUGUCCUGGCGCCGCCAUGGAGCGCAUCGAGGGGGCGUCCGUGGGCCGCUGCGCCGCCUCACCCUACCUGCGGCCGCUCACGCUGCAUUACCGCCAGAAUGGUGCCCGGAAGUCCUGGGACUUCAUGAAGACGCAUGACAGCGUGACCGUUCUCUUAUUCAACUCUUCUCGGAGGAGCCUGGUGUUGGUGAAGCAGUUCCGGCCAGCUGUGUAUGCGGGUGAGGUGGAGCGCCACUUCCCAGGGUCCCUAGCAGCUGUAGACCAGGACAGGCCUCGGGAGCUACAGCCAGCCCUGCCUGGCUCAGCUGGGGUGACAGUUGAGCUGUGUGCCGGCCUCGUGGACCAGCCUGGGCUCUCGCUGGAGGAAGUGGCUUGCAAGGAGGCUUGGGAGGAGUGUGGCUACCACUUGGCCCCCUCUGAUCUGCGCCGGGUCGCCACAUACUGGUGAGUGGGACCAGGCUCUCAGGCCUGUGGUGUGGCUUAGGAGAUGGGAGAGAGUGAGGGCCCCGUCCCUGGGAGUAUGCAAGCAGGAUGGAUUCUUCCUUGUUUUUC
Molecule: small RNA, 570 nt
Filed under: Pongo abelii (Sumatran orangutan)
Lineage: Eukaryota; Metazoa; Chordata; Mammalia; Primates; Hominidae
Description: retained intron
Source: RNAcentral